GUAGGUGAACCUGCGGAAGGAUCAUUACCAUAAAUCCAUUUGAAAACCAACCGUGUGAACCUGUAAUCGUCUUUCGGGGCUCUUUGCUUUUAUGGGUACUUUUUCGUUCAAAACCCAAAAACGACACUACUUUAUUGUUAUGCCUGUGGCGUAUCCCUAUAUAUGAGCGUUGGCGUGUUUCACACAAUAACGACAUAUACACAUACGAAACAAAACACAUAAUGACAUUGUUCUAUUGUUCCCUUGGGUU
Molecule: unclassified non-coding RNA, 250 nt
Filed under: plant metagenome
Description: partial contains small subunit ribosomal RNA, internal transcribed spacer 1, and 5.8S ribosomal RNA
Source: RNAcentral